CCCUGACAGGUGCGCCCUGCACCUGACUUAACCCACGACAGGAGAUCAUCAUG
This 53-nucleotide non-coding RNA is filed under the name unclassified sequences. The record is from Rfam.